This 253-nucleotide ribosomal RNA is filed under the name uncultured bacterium. RNAcentral's name for it is "partial 16S ribosomal RNA". It matches the Rfam family "Bacterial small subunit ribosomal RNA", at positions 524 to 776 of the family's 1533-position model. The record is from RNAcentral.
UACGUAGGGGGCAAGCGUUGUCCGGAAUUAUUGGGCGUAAAGAGCGUGUAGGCGGCCUGAAAGGUCAGCUGUGAAAACUCGAGGCUCAACCUCGAGACGUCGGUUGAAACCAUCUGGCUAGAGUCCGGAAGAGGAGAGUGGAAUUCCCGGUGUAGCGGUGAAAUGCGCAGAUAUCGGGAAGAACACCCGUGGCGAAGGCGGCUCUCUGGGACGGUACUGACGCUGAGACGCGAAAGCGUGGGGAGCGAACAGG